GAAAUGCGAUAAGUAAUGUGAAUUGCAGAAUUCAGUGAAUCAUCGAAUCUUUGAACGCACCUUGCGCUCCUUGGUAUUCCUUGGAGCAUGCCUGUUUGAGUAUCAUGAAAUCUUCAAAGUAAAUCUUUUGUUAACUCAAUUGGUUUCUACUUUGGUAUUGGAGGUCUUUGCAGCUUCACACCUGCUCCUCUUUGUUCAUUAGCUGGAUCUCAGUGUUAUGCUUGGUUCCACUCGUCGUGAUAAGUUAUCUAUCGCUGAGGACCCUGUAAAAGGUGGCCAAGGUAAAUGCAGAUGAACCGCUUCUAAUAGUCCAUUGACUUGGACAAUACUUUUAUGAUCUGAUCUCAAAUCAGGUAGGACUACCCGCUGAACUUAAGC
RNAcentral lists this unclassified non-coding RNA (378 nucleotides) under plant metagenome. Its description in RNAcentral is "partial contains 5.8S ribosomal RNA, internal transcribed spacer 2, and large subunit ribosomal RNA". The stretch from base 1 to 105 matches the Rfam family "5.8S ribosomal RNA", at positions 50 to 154 of the family's 154-position model. The record is from RNAcentral.